RNAcentral lists this small nuclear RNA (18 nucleotides) under Arabidopsis thaliana (thale cress). Its description in RNAcentral is "snRNA_12428". The record is from RNAcentral. Lineage: Eukaryota; Viridiplantae; Streptophyta; Magnoliopsida; Brassicales; Brassicaceae.
UUGUCGCUAAGAUUCGAC